Long non-coding RNA from Daphnia pulicaria, 661 nucleotides. RefSeq lists it as uncharacterized. Lineage: Eukaryota; Metazoa; Arthropoda; Branchiopoda; Diplostraca; Daphniidae. The transcript is spliced from 4 exons. The record is from RefSeq and is a predicted model, not a curated record.
GGAUGUAUUCUUUAUUAUUGUAAUUUUGUGGAACAUGUACUAAUGACUUGUUUUCCUUCCUUGUCUGUUUUUCGAACAAGACGAAUUCUACUGCAAUUACGUCGAGUUGAAUAGCAAAGAUAACACGUGUACACCACGUCGUUAAACUUGACAUUGUUGGUCGGAAAGCCGAACUUGACGAUGGCCGUACCAUCACCUACGCCUUGUGCGUUAUUGCCACAGGUGGUAAACAAAUCUUUUCCAAUCCCUGAGCGGUGCCCUUAAAGAUGUCCACGAGCACGUCACGCUGUCCCGCAACAUCGAUGGCGCUAACACAUGCCGAGUUCUCUAAAUGUUUAACCAAUGGACAACCGAGAAGGUGAAAGCGGAAAGUGUUAAUGUGUUGCCCAAAACUUAUGUUGAGGCUGCAAUUUUGGAAGACGACGACGUCGCAUUGACCUUAUACGAUGGUCAAAAGAAUUCAUUUCUGCAGAUUUAAACUGACCAUGUUGUCUCUGUUGUCGGUUGGGACGGAAACACGAAUUUGGCUGUCGCUUCUGGUUUGGAAAUAGAUUCGAAUUUUGGUGGUUAUCGAGUCAAUACCGAUCUCGAAGCACGAUCGACCAUCUGGCUGUGCUUAAAACUUGACCAACAAUGACUGCUCUGAUGUUUGUUGUUAGAU